Molecule: long non-coding RNA, 1442 nt
Filed under: Homo sapiens (human)
Lineage: Eukaryota; Metazoa; Chordata; Mammalia; Primates; Hominidae
Description: HSALNT0399754
Source: RNAcentral
CCUAAGCAAAGCAAACAAGCUUAAGCCAGUGGGGCAAUCGCAGUAACUGUUGGCCAAUACCAGGAAGAGCCAAUACCAGAAAGAACAUUUAGUUGUAAGAUAGCCUGGGCUGCCAGAGCCUAAGAAUCUAGAGUUGGACUUGGACUAUUCAGUAGAACCUCAGUGACAAUAGAAAUGUUCUACUUUGCUCUGUCCAAUAUGGUAGCCACCAGCCACAUGUGACUAUUGAGUCCUUGAAAUGUGGUUGGUAAAAGUAGAAAAAUUAAACUAUGAGGCAACCCUGGCUAAUCCUUCCUGGCAACAAGUGUCUGCAGCUGUGUCCAAGGGACACUAGCAAGUUAGUGGAGUCUCUGCCCAGCCUGCUUCACUCAUUCACGUGGCCUGCCUUGGCCCCUGAAAGGGCUGGAGUUGGAGAUCCCCUCACAAAUCUACCCCAAGCAGAAGCAUCAAAUCUGAGAGCCUGGCACCACUUGUCACUUUGCCUUGGUGGCCCUCACUUUUAGCACUCAACAGAGAGAACAAGGACCUCGGUGUAAAUAUUUUCUGUUCAAAGUAGAAUCUCUUCAGUGUUCUUCAAAAGCAAACAUGAAUGUGCACACAGACAAAGGACUUCCAAGUUACUGCAUCAGGAUGAGUGUGAGCCCGGGCGAGGUACAUACAGCAGGGACAUUUACUACCUUGAUCAUGGAACUUAGCUGUGCUGCAGUUCCUAGAUCUGGAAAAUAAAGACAAGAGAACACCUAGAUCACGAGGCUGGUGCGACAUGAAGGACCUGGAAUAAGGCCUGGCACAUCACAAGAUAGAGAACAUGAUAGCUACACAAGCUCAGAACAUGAUAGUUACCAUUAUUCUAGACUUCAGACUGUCCAUCGAUCAUGGAAACCACCUCUCUAUGGAGAAAGAAUGAAGACAAACAUUUCCCACAAUAUGAAACAGAGACCUGGGCAGGUUUUCACCCCCCAGUCUAUUCUAAACCACAGCAGAAAUCUGAGUGCGCUUGUAUAUGUUAAAUGAUCAGUCCCAGGAAACCAGUUAUUGGUGACUCAUCAAAAUCUCUCCGUUUCACUAAGGACUGCAGCACAGCCUGGGAUGGGUUUUGGAGUAACACAGACACACAUACCAUGUGUGUGCAGCUUCUUUCCCUACUGGUGCACAGAAAACCCAGUGAGAGAAUAACUCUCCCUGCACAAAAGAAGACAUCAGCCAAAUCUUCCCCAAAUCGGUCCUUUGUCUGACCCAGACUAGGCCCUUCCAACAGCAUUCUUUAGCCACUGACCUUGACUACAAAAUCAGAUUACAGCAUAAAAUUUCUAAAACUGUGAUGGCUCUAAAAAUUCAGCUUUUCUUCACAGAUUUACAUUUUGAAAAGUACAUUGUGUUUGAACUCAACCCAAAUUAUCUGCCACGACUCAAGUGAUGAAACAUACAGCAACGUCCUUCCC